RNA transcript from Daphnia magna, 982 nucleotides. It is a transcript of the gene named repetitive proline-rich cell wall protein 1-like, with no coding region annotated. The record is from RefSeq and is a predicted model, not a curated record. The transcript has 4 exons. NCBI's taxonomy places the organism in Eukaryota, Metazoa, Arthropoda, Branchiopoda, Diplostraca, Daphniidae.
AUUGCUCCUGUUAUUGCGUUUGUUUUCUUACCUUUCGUGAAAAGCUUUAUAUGUUAUUCUACCGUGAACUUGCCUCUGGCCAGCCCCGGAGAUGACACAUUUCCCAGAAAAAAUGUAGUUCUCAUGUUGGUUGCCCAACCCUUGCCUUACCUUAAUGUAAGUGGAGUAAUGGGUUAGGUAAAGAAAAGAAAAAACAACAAUUGAAAGUCUAAACGGGUUAGUCUGUGUCUGACUGCCAGCAUGACGUAAUGCUACAAGACUAGGCUACUCUAUAAACUUGUCGUGCUGAGAAAUGUGAUAUUUACUUAGUGAAACACAGACACGAUCAUGAAACGAAGAAACCUUUCUGUCAAAUGGAAUUGAAAAAGUCAUAUUGCUGAACCCGAAACACAAGAAUAAGGAAAACUACUUACGGCGCUUCCACAUAUCCCAGUAGAAAAUUUUCCCAUAAAAAAAAAAGGAUGUCAAUGACUCGCAUUGGCCUUGAUCUUGGAACUGAAAUGCAUUAUCACAGGAGUUUGCAGUAUCCCUUAACGAGCAUACUACUAUUAGGUUAAUCACAGCUUUUAUUUCAGUAAAAGAUGUCCAUCGCCAAUUUCGUUGUUUGCUUCUUGGCAGUUGUCAUGACCGUGGCUGGUGAGCCUACCGGAUACAGGCCAGCAAUGGCUCCUGAUUACCAGGCACCUGCUUACAAAGCUCCUACUUACCAGCCUCCUGCUUACCAGCCUCCUGCUUACCAGCCUCCUGCUUACCAGCCUCCUGCUUACCAGCCUCCUGCUUACCAGCCUCCUGCUUACCAGCCUCCUUCUUACCAGCCUCCUUCUUACCAGCCUCCUUCUUACCAGCCUCCUGCUUACAAGGCUCCUGCUUAUAUGGCCCCUACACCUUCGUAUAAGGCAGCUUCAUCUUACUAGUUUCCUGCCAAGUUAUUUAAAAUCAAAAGCUUGAAUUUCUCAAAAUAAAUUAUUUAGAUGUCUAUCAA